This 463-nucleotide ribosomal RNA is filed under the name Anthopleura japonica. Its description in RNAcentral is "partial 16S ribosomal RNA". It matches the Rfam family "Bacterial large subunit ribosomal RNA", at positions 1955 to 2467 of the family's 2925-position model. The record is from RNAcentral. Lineage: Eukaryota; Metazoa; Cnidaria; Anthozoa; Actiniaria; Actiniidae.
UGUAGCGUAAUCAAUAGCCAAUUAAUUGUUGGCCGGUAUGAAUGGCGUCACGAAGGCCCCACUGUCUUAAGAGGACUCUCCAUGAAAUUGAAUUCGUAGUGAAGAUGCUACGUCCAUAUUGUAAGACGAAAAGACCCCAUUGAGCUUUACUAAAGACUUGCAUGGCUCAAAAUAAUUUGACUUAAAUAAAGAGUUUAGAUAAUGUGGGACCCGUUUUCGGUUAAUGAAACACCACUCUUUUAUUUUAAGAGAGCUAACAUUACAGGGAUAGUGUAAGUUGGAUAGUUUGGUUGGGGCGACCACCUUUUAAAAGGUAACGAAGGUGAGCUUAAGGUCCGUAGUUAAUAGCCGGUGGCCUGACUGCAAGGGGGACGUCUCGAGCAGACACGUCCUUAGGGAUGUGGACUAUAGUGACCCGUCAUCUUAGUGUGGAAUAGUUGACGAUCAACGAAUAAAAGCUACC